GGAGCCGGGAAGCAGCCCGCCCGGAGCGCCGCCGCAUGCCCAGAAACAAUAGCUGUGAGUUACCAUGGUGGAAGCAGCCCUGAGGGGUGGCGAUACAGUAAAGGAAAACAGCAGCAGCUAGCUUCCCGUGAGCCAGAUGCUAUCUUUGGUGGUCACCUCACCUUCACUUCCAAGAAUCCUGAGGAUACUUUGGAGGGUUGGAGACAACGGACAGCAGAAUAAACCCUGAAGACAAAGUGAUGGAUGAUGAGGAGGACAAGAUGGGACAGGUGACAGCUGUCUGGCACAGUGAUGAGCUGGAACCUCUUCUCACCCCAGGAGAGUCUGAGCCAGUCCCAGCUUUCCAUCUCUGCUGUGCACAUGGUGCAGAAGUGAGGAGUCCAGAUGUGUCCUUCAGAGGAACCCCCAACAUAUUGGUGGAGUACUUCCGCCAGAUAAGCAAGUGGCCAAGGAGAAGCAAGGAAGACAAAUUACAAGAGGUGCUUCAAUCCUCAGAUGCCAGAAAACACAAACUGAGUCUGGGAAGAGAGACCAUAAAUGAAAAUCAUAAAAUAGACAGGCAGAAGAGGAAGGUGAGCCAGGAGUGAAUUUUAAUGGGCCACGCGUGGAUGGAGGUGAUAGAGGAG
Molecule: long non-coding RNA, 626 nt
Filed under: Pelusios castaneus (West African mud turtle)
Lineage: Eukaryota; Metazoa; Chordata; Testudines; Pelomedusidae
Description: lncRNA (ENSPCEG00000010771.1)
Source: RNAcentral